Alosa alosa (allis shad) is the source of this 2120-nucleotide non-coding RNA. The record is from the annotation of a RefSeq genome assembly. NCBI's taxonomy places the organism in Eukaryota, Metazoa, Chordata, Actinopteri, Clupeiformes, Clupeidae.
AAGGUUCAGACUCUGCUCUGUACUACUGUGCACUGCAGGCCACAGUGAUGGAAGCUCCCUUAGGGCUGUCAUGAAAUGAAUGACUCCCUCGCCAGUCAUGGGAGCACUCAGUGUAUUACUGGUCUUGUCUCUCUUAAUAGGAGAAUCUGUUGGAAAUGCCAUAACAUCAUCGCAUUCUUCACUGGUCGUCAUUGAGGGAGGGAAUGCCACUUUCUCCUGUAACUACAGCAGUAGUACCAGUGGCAAUAGUUUACAGUGGUAUCGGCAGUACCCCAACUCCAUCCCAGAGUUCCUCUACUUCAUAUAUGAGGCUGGUACCACUUCAGACCCAGUUCCCCGUCUGACUCCCUCCAUAAAGACAGAGGAAAAGCGCGUGUUUCUGGAGCUCUCCUCUGCAGAGGCGUCUGACUCUGCUGUGUACUACUGCGCCCUGGUGCCCACAGUGACAGGAACUCAGACUCUGCUGUACAAAAACCUCUCAGAUGGAGAGAAAUUUAACAAAGAUCUAUCUGUUGGAAAUGUCCAUUCCAGUAAUGGCAAACACAAUUAUCCCCAUUCUGUAAUAAUGUGACCUAAAUGAUAUCAUAUUAGAUACCAGCCACAGAAGCAGUGGCAUGCAUAUUACUUAUGAAGGAUAUGCAUCUAGAAAAGUAUACAUUGUCAUUAUUUCGGUCGCCCGGUCGGGCCGCUUCGCACUCUACAACAUACGAAAAAUCAGGACUUACUUGAAUUACUUUACCCAACUCCUAGAACAGGAAAUAGUCAUCUCACGACUUAGCUACUGCAAUGCCCUCCUGACAGGUCUCCCAGCCUGCACAGUGAAACCACUUCAGAUGAUCCAGAACGCGGUGGGGGGCCUGGUCUAAAAGCAACCCAAAAGGGCACGUCACCCCGCUGCUCAUCCAGCUACACUGGCUACCUAUGGCCACCCGCAUCAAAUUCAAGUAUCUAACGCUUGCCUACAAAGUACAGUAGUCUCCGAUUCUGCUCCCACCAACUUUAAUGCCCUCAUACAGAUAUUAUGCUACUUCCCGACCGUUGCGCUCCUCAGACGAACAACGUCUAGCUCUGCCACCAGUGCGCUCAAGCCAAUCCAAACAGUCAAUCCAAAAGUUGACUGUUUAAAAACAGCACUCACUUAUAUUAAAUUGUCCUAUAAUUGUUCAGAGAAUUGCUUUAAAAAGCUUAAACUGUUUACCAUGUUGUUAGUCGCUUUGGAUAAAAAUGCAUCAGCCAAAUGUAAUGUACAGUAAUAUGUCCUCACAGGUAAAAUCCCUUUGUUCAGUUACAACUUAACAAUCAUUACCAUUACAAUCAAUUAAAGUUGUUGCCAAACAGUGAUGAAGGAACACUGAUGAUGGGCUAAAUUACUCUGUUGUUCCUGAAGGAGGCACUGAUGUUUCAGAUCUUAAAACUGAAAAGGCUGUAGCAGAUGUGUCACUCUUACCUGACUUUCUUUAGUGUCAAGGAGAGGUAACAAACAGAAGCAGCUAUACAAUGGAAUUCAUCUGUGUUACAAUGAUUGUGUUCCUGUUUAUAGAUGACACCAAAGAGGAUAUCAUUGCAUCUCUAGAUUCCACUAAGAAUGUUCUGGAGGAUGCCAGUGUCACAUUCUCCUGCAAGUACACUGUAGAUAUUAACUCUGUACACUGGUACCGUCUGUAUCCUGGAGCUACACCUGAAUUUAUCCUAUUCAUAACGGAGUACAACACCACGGGAGGAGCCCCACCAAGAAUGUUGUCUCACAUCAACAAAGACACCAAGCAUGUAAUUCUGGAGAUCUCAUCCGCUGAAGUCUUAGACUCUGCUGUCUACUACUGUGCUGUGCUGCCCACAAUGACAGGAAACAUACAGACACUGUACAAAAACCUAAUCAGUACAUGGUGCUAUUUAUUAUAAUGUUUCAUACCCAGUAUCAUUCAUUUUACUAUCAUAUCCUACUCCCAUCUGGCCGCAGAUACAGAGUCCUGGACUGGAAAAAAGCACACUUUAAGAAAAGUUUUGUACCCUCAGCUAUCACUGCACUAAACAAACUCCUGUGACAAUCAUCCAUCCCCCCUAUUGUUUUGUGUUUUAUGUUGUCUGCACUGUCCACCUUUUUGCUUGUAUGGUGUUGUUAU